UGUCAAACACAAAGCAGUGUGG
This 22-nucleotide unclassified non-coding RNA is filed under the name Mus musculus (house mouse). RNAcentral describes it as "oocyte_clustered_small_RNA10944". Lineage: Eukaryota; Metazoa; Chordata; Mammalia; Rodentia; Muridae. The record is from RNAcentral.